Thalassophryne amazonica is the source of this 682-nucleotide long non-coding RNA. RefSeq lists it as uncharacterized. The record is from RefSeq and is a predicted model, not a curated record. Lineage: Eukaryota; Metazoa; Chordata; Actinopteri; Batrachoidiformes; Batrachoididae. The transcript has 2 exons.
AAUUAUCAAUUGGAAAUUUCAGAUUUGAGCUUUUCUGAUAUAUUAAUGAGGCAAAAACCUAAAGAACAGCAUUUUUACUAAAACACCAGGGAGAUUACAAAUUUUGAACAUGACAUUUCUUUUUCAAAAUUAACAAUUGGAAAUUUCACAUUUGAGCUUUUCUGAUGUAUCAGUGAGGCAAAAACCUCAACAAAAACAUUUUUACUAAAACACCAGGAAAAUUACAAAUUUUGAACAUGACAGUUUUAUUUUUCAAAAUUAUCAAUUGGAAAUUUCAGAUUUGAACUUUUCUGAUAUAUUAAUGAGGCAAAAACCUAAAGAACAGCAUUUUUACUAAAACACCAGGGAGAUGACAAAUUUUGUACAUGACAGUUUUUUUCUAAAUUAACAAUCGGAAAUUUCAAAUUUGAGCUUUUCUGAUGCAAAAACCUUGAAAACCACAGAAAUGAGGGAAUACUGGGGAAAUUAAUGAGGAUUAAAGUAAUGAGGAAACAUCAUUUACAUAGAAACACAAGAUAAACAACUUUUAAAGAGUUUCUAAAAUUAACACGUAAAUUUUUAAUUUAGGCUUUUUUGAUGUAUUAAUCUGGUAAAAAAAAACAUCAACAACUAUAUUUACACAGAAACAGGGAGAUUAUAACUUUUGCACAUGACAAUAUUUGACAUUAACAUUGGUCAAUUU